This is a long non-coding RNA of Oreochromis aureus, 399 nucleotides long. NCBI's taxonomy places the organism in Eukaryota, Metazoa, Chordata, Actinopteri, Cichliformes, Cichlidae. The record is from Ensembl.
AUGAAACCUAAAAGCUGGUAAAUCACAGAGGUGCUAAAGAAUAUCUAAGGGACACGAAAUACAAAAGACAAAACCAUCAAAACAUCACAAAAUCCCAGAACAUUGAAUAAACAAAACCUAAAGACAGAGUCAUCUGACUCUGGACCAUGACACAUUCUGUUUCUCUUUCCUGGUGGAGAGGUGGGGAACACCAAAGAAGUGAUCGAUCUAAUGAAGAAAAAAUCAGGUUCUCACAGGUGAAAGCAUAAAAACACAACUUUGGACAUUCUGUGAAAAUCUACACUGUAGGAGCCAUGUGUUUCUCUUUUGGGAUUGGGGAAGGGGCCAGCUCUGCUCUCAUCAAUGGGAUGGCCAAGGAAGGAGGAGGUCACGCUCAGUUCAUCAUAGGGACUGACAGGA